Molecule: transfer RNA, 88 nt
Filed under: Synura uvella
Lineage: Eukaryota; Synurophyceae; Synurales; Mallomonadaceae
Description: tRNA-Ser
Rfam family: tRNA
About the family: Transfer RNA (tRNA) molecules are approximately 80 nucleotides in length. Their secondary structure includes four short double-helical elements and three loops (D, anti-codon, and T loops).
Source: RNAcentral
GGAGAGGUGGCUGAGUGGUCUAUAGCGUUAGAUUGCUAAUCUAUUGUAGAUUUUUAAUCUACCGAGGGUUCGAAUCCCUCCUUCUCCU